UAGGGAAUCUUCGGCAAUGGACGAAAGUCUGACCGAGCAACGCCGCGUGAGUGAAGAAGGUUUUCGGAUCGUAAAACUCUGUUGUUAGAGAAGAACAAGGACGUUAGUAACUGAACGUCCCCUGACGGUAUCUAACCAGAAAGCCACGGCUAACUACGUGCCAGCAGCCGCGGUAAUACGUAGGUGGCAAGCGUUGUCCGGAUUUAUUGGGCGUAAAGCGAGCGCAGGCGGUUUCUUAAGUCUGAUGUGAAAGCCCCCGGCUCAACCGGGGAGGGUCAUUGGAAACUGGGAGACUUGAGUGCAGAAGAGGAGAGUGGAAUUCCAUGUGUAGCGGUGAAAUGCGUAGAUAUAUGGAGGAACACCAGUGGCGAAGGCGUCUCUCUGGUCUGUAACUGAAGCUGAGGCUCGAAAGCGUGGGGAGCAAACAGG
This 429-nucleotide ribosomal RNA is filed under the name Gemmatimonadota bacterium. Its description in RNAcentral is "Gemmatimonadetes bacterium partial 16S ribosomal RNA". It matches the Rfam family "Bacterial small subunit ribosomal RNA", at positions 355 to 776 of the family's 1533-position model. Lineage: Bacteria; Pseudomonadati; Gemmatimonadota. The record is from RNAcentral.